UCCGGAGGAGGCAAUCGUUAUCCGGAAUUAUUGGGCGUAAAGCGUCCGUAGGUGGUUGGCCAAGUCUGCUGUCAAAGGGUGGAGCUUAACCUCAUAAAGGCAGUGGAAACUGGCGAGCUAGAGUGCGGUAGGGGUAGGGGGAAUUCCCAGUGUAGCGGUGAAAUGCGUAGAGAUUGGGAAGAACAUCGGUGGCGAAAGCGCCCUGCUGGGCCUGCACUGACACUGAGGGACGAAAGCUAGGGGAGCGAAAGGG
RNAcentral lists this ribosomal RNA (253 nucleotides) under uncultured bacterium. Its description in RNAcentral is "partial 16S ribosomal RNA". It matches the Rfam family "Bacterial small subunit ribosomal RNA", at positions 524 to 776 of the family's 1533-position model. The record is from RNAcentral.